GUGGGGAAUUUUGGACAAUGGGCGAAAGCCUGAUCCAGCAAUGCCGCGUGCAGGAAGAAGGCCUUCGGGUUGUAAACUGCUUUUGUACGGAACGAAAAGGCUCUUUCUAAUAAAGAGGGCCCAUGACGGUACCGUAAGAAUAAGCACCGGCUAACUACGUGCCAGCAGCCGCGGUAAUACGUAGGGUGCGAGCGUUAAUCGGAAUUACUGGGCGUAAAGCGUGCGCAGGCGGUUCUAUAAGACAGAUGUGAAAUCCCCGGGCUCAACCUGGGAAUGGCAUUUGUGACUGUAGAGCUAGAGUACGGUAGAGGGGGAUGGAAUUCCGCGUGUAGCAGUGAAAUGCGUAGAUAUGCGGAGGAACACCGAUGGCGAAGGCAAUCCCCUGGACCUGUACUGACGCUCAUGCACGAAAGCGUGGGGAGCAAACAGGAUUAGAAACCCCGGUAGUCC
RNAcentral lists this ribosomal RNA (450 nucleotides) under uncultured bacterium. Its description in RNAcentral is "bacterial SSU rRNA". It matches the Rfam family "Bacterial small subunit ribosomal RNA", at positions 354 to 796 of the family's 1533-position model. The record is from RNAcentral.